RNAcentral lists this long non-coding RNA (478 nucleotides) under Sorghum bicolor (sorghum). Its description in RNAcentral is "long non-coding RNA (SBIC_LNC009370)". The record is from RNAcentral. Lineage: Eukaryota; Viridiplantae; Streptophyta; Magnoliopsida; Poales; Poaceae.
GCGGCGCGGAAGAGAAAAACAAGGCGCAGGGCUAGGCUAGAUGUUUUAUAGGGUGUCGGGGAAGGCAAAUCCCGCGAAAUCCGGAUGAUUCAGGACUUGCCCAAAAUCCAACUCGGUUACGGUUGAGAUGGAAGAAGAACAGUAGCGCUGACUUGCGGGCCCGUGCGGUCAGAGAGAGAAAGAGGCGGGGUCCAGCUGUCAGCGGAUCAAGAGAGAGGAGGGGGGAGGGGGCGGCUGACUGGGCUGGGCGCGCGCUGGCUUGGGCCGAGCUGGGGAGUUGGGCUUCCUGCCGCGCUGGGACGAAGGGGACAGCAGGGGGAGGGGAAAAAAGAGCUGGGUCGAGGUAGGCCGGAAUCAGGUGGGGAAGUUUUGAUUUGUUUGUUUUUUUUCUUCUUUUAUUUCCAAACCUUUUUAAAACUCAUUUAAAAAUACUUUUAAAUCAUUUUGAAUUUUUGAGUUCAAAAACACUCAGCACAAA